AUGAAUUCUACAGCAAGCCACCUUGUUACUCAUGUGAGCAGGCAACAAAAAGAUAUUGUCACAUCUGCAAGAACUAAGAAAAUGUACCAUCUACAUGUCCUUACCCAACUCUGUCUAACAAGGGCGAUUCCAGAACAAGGUCAUGACAUAAAAGGAGUCGGAACCCAGGUGAGGCGACAAGAGCUGAGCUCAGGUUCUCGGCCUCGGAACUCUCAUGGGGAGGCGCCAGCAUGGGCACCCUCCACAGUUCGGGCCCCUCACUCACAAACCUGGCACAUCGAAACAAGCUGGCAAAAAGGUCUGCAAGUCUGCUGGAACCUGGCACGCAGUGACCCUCCUGCCCAGCCACCCGGUUCCUGA
Long non-coding RNA from Piliocolobus tephrosceles (Ugandan red Colobus), 360 nucleotides. Lineage: Eukaryota; Metazoa; Chordata; Mammalia; Primates; Cercopithecidae. The record is from Ensembl.